This 495-nucleotide ribosomal RNA is filed under the name uncultured bacterium. Its description in RNAcentral is "partial 16S ribosomal RNA". It matches the Rfam family "Bacterial small subunit ribosomal RNA", at positions 28 to 507 of the family's 1533-position model. The record is from RNAcentral.
GACGAACGCUGGCGGCGUGCCUAAUACAUGCAAGUAGAACGCUGAAGGAGGAGCUUGCUUCUCCGGAUGAGUUGCGAACGGGUGAGUAACGCGUAGGUAACCUGCCUGGUAGCGGGGGAUAACUAUUGGAAACGAUAGCUAAUACCGCAUAAGAGUAGAUGUCGCAUGACAUUUGCUUAAAAGGUGCAACUGCACCACUACCAGAUGGACCUGCCUUGUAUUAGCUAGUUGGUGAGGUAACGGCUCACCAAGGCAACGAUACAUAGCCGACCUGAGAGGGUGAUCGGCCACACUGGGACUGAGACACGGCCCAGACUCCUACGGGAGGCAGCAGUAGGGAAUCUUCGGCAAUGGACGGAAGUCUGACCGAGCAACGCCGCGUGAGUGAAGAAGGUUUUCGGAUCGUAAAGCUCUGUUGUAAGAGAAGAACGAGUGUGAGAGUGGAAAGUUCACACUGUGACGGUAUCUUACCAGAAAGGGACGGCUAACUACGUG